Long non-coding RNA from Juglans regia (Persian walnut), 684 nucleotides. RefSeq lists it as uncharacterized. NCBI's taxonomy places the organism in Eukaryota, Viridiplantae, Streptophyta, Magnoliopsida, Fagales, Juglandaceae. The transcript is spliced from 3 exons. The record is from RefSeq and is a predicted model, not a curated record.
CCCGUAGCUUCCCACAUAAGCUAAUUGGAUUCUCUUCCUUCUCCUACACGUUGGCUUCCUCAACAAGCCUUGGACUCUUCUUCCUUCUCUUACACGCCGGUUCCAUGGGACAAGAAAAACAAAAAACAAAUUCCUCUUCUUCUCUUACACCCAUUGACAGCCUCCAGAGCAAGUGAUUUCUCUUCUCCAUUCGCCGUCGGUUCUAGGGCACACAAGGAGAACUUCUCAAGUCUUCCAUCACACGAAGAACCCUUCGGGUUCCCCUCUCCCAGCCACGCGAUACCUCUCGGUUCCUCGAGCCGAUUCUUCCAUUUCGUAAGCCUAAGAUUUUCCACCAAAAAUCUUCAAAAGAUCAUCAACCUCCUUUGAGAUUUCGAACUUCUCUUCAUUUCUUGUUGUUGUGUACUUCCGUGGCUGCAAAAGAGACCCAAACAGAAGUUUAUUUUCAAGAUUCAAGGAACUUACUUGUAAAGCCACGAGGUAUGAAUGAUGGGACUGUGGAGCUGGGCACUGCUGAGGAGGGAAGGGCUGAUGCUUAGUAUUCCCUGUCGGUUCGGUUUAAUGAUGAUGAUUAUAUUUUAUGUUUUAUGAUGGGUCCCAUGUUGGGAAGUUUUAAAACACCAGUCAUGAUAGAAGAUACUUUAUCUUUUAUAGAAUUUAUGCAAACGCUGAACAAACAUUUGA